This 138-nucleotide ribosomal RNA is filed under the name Planctomycetales bacterium. RNAcentral's name for it is "partial 23S ribosomal RNA". It matches the Rfam family "Bacterial large subunit ribosomal RNA", at positions 2787 to 2925 of the family's 2925-position model. Lineage: Bacteria; Pseudomonadati; Planctomycetota; Planctomycetia; Planctomycetales. The record is from RNAcentral.
GUGAAGCCCCCCCCGAGAUAAGGUUUCGUACGUGCUUGACACGAGAGCCCCCUUGAAGACGACGAGGUUGAUAGGCUGGAUGUGUAAGCUCAGCAAUGGGUUUAGCUAACCAGUACUAACGGGCGAACGCUUGACCAC